UAAAGCGUGCGCAGGCGGUUAUAUAAGACAGAUGUGAAAUCCCCGGGCUCAACCUGGGAACUGCAUUUGUGACUGUAUAGCUGGAGUGCGGCAGAGGGGGAUGGAAUUCCGCGUGUAGCAGUGAAAUGCGUAGAUAUGCGGAGGAACACCGAUGGCGAAGGCAAUCCCCUGGGCCUGCACUGACGCUCAUGCACGAAAGCGUGGGGAGCAAACAGGAUUAGAACCCCAGU
This 230-nucleotide ribosomal RNA is filed under the name uncultured bacterium. RNAcentral's name for it is "partial 16S ribosomal RNA". It matches the Rfam family "Bacterial small subunit ribosomal RNA", at positions 561 to 790 of the family's 1533-position model. The record is from RNAcentral.